Molecule: long non-coding RNA, 259 nt
Organism: Peromyscus eremicus (cactus mouse)
Lineage: Eukaryota; Metazoa; Chordata; Mammalia; Rodentia; Cricetidae
Exons: 2
Source: RefSeq, a predicted model, not a curated record
UCCGAGAUGUGCUGCUCACUAGCUCACCAGAGACUAUAGUCUAUACUAAAUUCCACAAGAGACAAGAACUAGGGAGAAAUUCACAUUAUUUUUCUAUCCCACACAAACUUCUAUUCAAACAAUAAGAGGUGCCCAGAGAGUCCAGAAGUGAGAGGCAGAAUCCCUGGACCUGGAGUUACAGGUGGUUGUAAGAUGUCUGACAUGGGUGCUGGGAAACAAACUUGGGUCCCCUGGAAGAAUAAGUGCUCUUAACCAAUGA